This is a long non-coding RNA of Magallana angulata, 1724 nucleotides long. RefSeq lists it as uncharacterized. The transcript has 4 exons. Lineage: Eukaryota; Metazoa; Mollusca; Bivalvia; Ostreida; Ostreidae. The record is from RefSeq and is a predicted model, not a curated record.
AUUUUUCAAAGUGCGUUGAUAUCGUCGAUAUUAUAAAAAACUGUUCAGGAUUUGGUCCAAAUAAUUGAUACUUUUAUUGACAUACAAUAACUGAUUGUUUUAACCUUGGUUUGAUAUUGUUUAGCUCAAUGGGAUAUUUUUAAAAAAAAAGAAUCCAAUGCAUUCUCAGCUUACUUUAUAAACAGUUUCUCGAUUCGAAUUUUUUUCUCAUAAGCUUACGUAGUUUGACAAUUUACACAAGAACAAAUCAGGAGUUUUAAAUUAUCAAAAUAUGACAUAAACUGCAUCGCGUAGAAAUUGCCUUUUUCCUUUUUUGUCUAUGCAGCAAAAUUAAUGUACUUCUUAUCUGAUACAUUGGGCUAUGUCAGAAACGUUUACUUCAAGUUGGUGAAUAUCAUACGUUUUGGAUAGAAAGAUAAGGGGUAGGCAACCUUCUUCCUGAAAUCAAUUACUAGUAAAUGAUGCACUGGUAAUUGACCUGUAUGAUUGGUUAACCCACACCCACCCCCGUUCUCAAAGACGGUUAAUGAGAUUUACUAGUGUUAACAAUUCAUCAUACAAUCAGCAAAUUAGAAAUUCAAUUCCAGAUUUUUCUAUUUAAACAUAUUUUUUUAAAGUGCGUUAAGUGUUUCGAUAAUAAAAAAUGUUGAAGUUCCAUCAUAACGCACUUUGAAUUUUUUUUUUCAAACUGCGUUAGCUUAGUCCUAAGUUUCACGCGUUUUAUUUUUUUUAAGUGUGUACUUUUCUCAAAGUUUGUUGCCACAUACGUUAUUUAAAAUCCACUAUAAAUCACAAAACUUGUGUGCUAUAAUUCUUUAGAAACUGUACAAAGAAUGUAUGGUGUAUCAAAUCAUUUGAUAAUGAGAAGAUGGGAUAAAUAAGUAAAAUUAAUGUAAGUAGUCAGUUUCAUGUGUGUAUUUCAAACCUGACAAUGUAGUGAGAAUCAUGUGUGUCUAACUGGUGGGUCACGUGGUCUGAUGUAGUGAAGUUCAGGGGAAAACCCAAAUUUUUAAUAUAAUGAAUUUACGAAUUAUCAGCCCCCUAGGCUAAUAAGAGUAGACAGUCUUUUAUAAAUUUGCUCAAAUUUUUUCUUCACGACCCUUAGAAAAUAGUGUAGUGACUUUCUGGUGAAAAGUCAUGUGUAGUGAGUUUCAUGUCUUUACGAGUAUGUGUGUGUGUGUGUGUGUGUGUGUGUGUGUGUGUGUGUGUGUGUGUUUGUAAGCACCUGAAUACCACUACACUAGUAUGAAUACACACGUUUUAUCCCACUACAUUUUUUCUUCCCACUACAUGCACCCGUGUAGUGGGAAGUAAAAUCAUUCGGAAACGUUAUUUCUCAUCGUACUUGAUUCAAAAAAUAUAAAAUCGUACUAUGUUUGGGUUUCCGGUGUGUAUGUGAAUUUUUUAACACGCAUCGUGGAGUCCAUAAGAGUACUUUACACACUUUCCUCCAUUGGAUAUAAAUAGCGCAUGCGCAAUCGGAACUUCCUAUUCGAAGAUGGAAAUAAUUGUUUACAAGACUCUCAAAACCAAAAAUUUUGUUUGCAAAUAGUGACUGAUGUGCCUUAUGAUGUAGAUUUUGGAUAUUGUGCUUUUCCAGGAAAAAUAUCCAAGCUACAUGAGGUUUCCUGAGAAAAGUGUUUGUCUCACAUGGAAAAGCCAUUGUUUAAGAUUAUACAUAUUAAGCACCAGUGUUCAGACAAAGGUUAACUUCCUAGAAGGAC